CUUCAGCGAGCCGAGGAGCAGCGGACGGGUGCGGCCCUGUCCGUAGGUGGCCAGCAGCGCCUGUGCCUC
This 69-nucleotide antisense RNA is filed under the name Streptomyces sp. VN1. RNAcentral describes it as "ASpks TB sRNA". It matches the Rfam family "ASpks TB sRNA". Lineage: Bacteria; Bacillati; Actinomycetota; Actinomycetes; Kitasatosporales; Streptomycetaceae. The record is from Rfam by way of RNAcentral.